RNAcentral lists this ribosomal RNA (468 nucleotides) under uncultured bacterium. RNAcentral's name for it is "partial 16S ribosomal RNA". It matches the Rfam family "Bacterial small subunit ribosomal RNA", at positions 28 to 507 of the family's 1533-position model. The record is from RNAcentral.
GACGAACGCUGGCGGCGUGCUUAACACAUGCAAGUCGAACGGAAAGGCCCUGCUUUUGUGGGGUGCUCGAGUGGCGAACGGGUGAGUCACACGUGAGUAACCUGCCCUUGACUUUGGGAUAACUUCAGGAAACUGGGGCUAAUACCGGCUAGGAGCUCCUGCUGCAUGGUGGGGGUUGGAAAGUUUCGGCGGUUGGGGAUGGACUCGCGGCUUAUCAGCUUGUUGGUGGGGUAGUGGCUUACCAAGGCUUUGACGGGUAGCCGGCCUGAGAGGGUGACCGGCCACAUUGGGACUGAGAUACGGCCCAGACUCCUACGGGAGGCAGCAGUGGGGAAUAUUGCACAAUGGGCGGAAGCCUGAUGCAGCAACGCCGCGUGCGGGAUGACGGCCUUCGGGUUGUAAACCGCUUUCGCCUGUGACGAAGCGUGAGUGACGGUAAUGGGUAAAGAAGCACCGGCUAACUACGUG